GGUCAGCAGCAGAUGAACAAAAGCCAGAGUGUGCCCAGGUGUCCAAGAAGGCCAAUGGCUUCCUGGCCUGUAUCAGCAAAAGUGUGAGCAGAAGGACUAGGGAGAUACAGCCCCCUGUACUCUGCACUGAUACCCCUGCUUCAGAACCAGCAGAGAGUAUCCCAGAGCCUGGGACAAGUGCCUAGUUCCAGUUUUAGCGACUCUUCCCUAACAAGUACUAUUCCUAUGAAACGGAACAGAUUUAGCAGGAGAAAAUAGAUAGAGCAACAAACACAGGAAACUCAGGAAUUUGAGAGUCUGUUAAGGCUCAGGAGACUGCAAUGAAGUUCUUUGGCUCCAGAGAA
Passer domesticus (house sparrow) is the source of this 344-nucleotide long non-coding RNA. RefSeq lists it as uncharacterized. NCBI's taxonomy places the organism in Eukaryota, Metazoa, Chordata, Aves, Passeriformes, Passeridae. The record is from RefSeq and is a predicted model, not a curated record. The transcript has 3 exons.